This 484-nucleotide ribosomal RNA is filed under the name uncultured bacterium. Its description in RNAcentral is "partial 16S ribosomal RNA". It matches the Rfam family "Bacterial small subunit ribosomal RNA", at positions 30 to 507 of the family's 1533-position model. The record is from RNAcentral.
AUUGAACGCUGGCGGCAGGCCUAACACAUGCAAGUCGAGCGGAUGAAGGGAGCUUGCUCCUGGAUUCAGCGGCGGACGGGUGAGUAAUGCCUAGGAAUCUGCCUGGUAGUGGGGGAUAACGUCCGGAAACGGGUGCUAAUACCGCAUACGUCCUGAGGGAGAAAGUGGGGGAUCUUCGGACCUCACGCUAUCAGAUGAGCCUAGGUCGGAUUAGCUAGUUGGUGGGGUAAAGGCCUACCAAGGCGACGAUCCGUAACUGGUCUGAGAGGAUGAUCAGUCACACUGGAACUGAGACACGGUCCAGACUCCUACGGGAGGCAGCAGUGGGGAAUAUUGGACAAUGGGCGAAAGCCUGGUCCAGCCAUGCCGCGUGUGUGAAGAAGGUCUUCGGAUUGUAAAGCACUUUAAGUUGGGAGGAAGGGCAGUAAGUUAAUACCUUGCUGUUUUGACGUUACCAACAGAAUAAGCACCGGCUAACUUCGUG